Pelobates cultripes (western spadefoot toad) is the source of this 217-nucleotide non-coding RNA. NCBI's taxonomy places the organism in Eukaryota, Metazoa, Chordata, Amphibia, Anura, Pelobatidae. The record is from the annotation of a GenBank genome assembly.
GUAGGAUUAUUGGACAGACUCCUCGUGUGAUGGAAAUGGUCACAUGUUUUUCUAAAUAAAAUGAAAAAAUCUUAGUUUUCAGUGCUGGCACUUAAGGAUAAAUUAGUUGAGUUUGUGUUUCAGUUCGGGCACUGUAUUUGACAGGAAGUAUCCUAGAAGGAGAUGGGAAGGUGUAUUUUGAAGUGGUGGUAAAAAGUCAAAUUUAAUGGGAAGGACG